UACGUAGGAGACGAGCGUUGUCCGGAAUUACUGGGCGUAAAGCGCGUGUAGGCGGAUGGUCAAGUCUGCUGUGAAAGCUCCUGGCUUAACCGGGAGUGGUCGGUGGAAACUGCCAAUCUGGAGGACGGUAGAGGUAGGUAGAAUUCCCGGUGUAGUGGUGAAAUGCGUAGAGAUCGGGAGGAACACCGGUGGCGAAGGCGGGUCUCUGGGCAACAACUGACGCUGAGGAGCGAAAGCGUGGGGAGCGAACAGG
Molecule: ribosomal RNA, 253 nt
Filed under: uncultured bacterium
Lineage: Bacteria
Description: partial 16S ribosomal RNA
Rfam family: Bacterial small subunit ribosomal RNA
Source: RNAcentral